Long non-coding RNA from Solanum stenotomum, 131 nucleotides. RefSeq lists it as uncharacterized. The record is from RefSeq and is a predicted model, not a curated record. The transcript has 3 exons. Lineage: Eukaryota; Viridiplantae; Streptophyta; Magnoliopsida; Solanales; Solanaceae.
UUGGAAUUAUUAUAGAGACUCAAGAGCUUUCGAGGAUACUUUUUAUGUACCCUUUGUUUCAAAAGGUAUCAACUUACCUCCUUCAGUGGAGGAAGUGGGAGCAAUACAUUUUGCUAUGAACCGGAUAGGAA